GACGUAGGGCGCAAGCGUUGUCCGGAUUUAUUGGGCGUAAAGAGCUCGUAGGCGGCCUGUUGCGUCCGCUGUGAAAGCCCCGGGGCUUAACCCCGGGUCGGCAGUGGAUACGGGCAGGCUAGAGGUAGGUAGGGGAGAAUGGAAUUCCCGGUGUAGCGGUGAAAUGCGCAGAUAUCGGGAGGAACACCGGUGGCGAAGGCGGUUCUCUGGGCCUUACCUGACGCUGAGGAGCGAAAGCGUGGGGAGCGAACAGG
RNAcentral lists this ribosomal RNA (254 nucleotides) under uncultured bacterium. Its description in RNAcentral is "partial 16S ribosomal RNA". It matches the Rfam family "Bacterial small subunit ribosomal RNA", at positions 524 to 776 of the family's 1533-position model. The record is from RNAcentral.